AGAUUGAACGCUGGCGGCAGGCCUAACACAUGCAAGUCGAGCGGCAGCACGGGUACUUGUACCUGGUGGCGAGCGGCGGACGGGUGAGUAAUGCCUAGGAAUCUGCCUGGUAGUGGGGGAUAACGCUCGGAAACGGACGCUAAUACCGCAUACGUCCUACGGGAGAAAGCAGGGGACCUUCGGGCCUUGCGCUAUCAGAUGAGCCUAGGUCGGAUUAGCUAGUUGGUGGGGUAAUGGCUCACCAAGGCGACGAUCCGUAACUGUCUGAGAGGAUGAUCAGUCACACUGGAACUGAGACACGGU
RNAcentral lists this ribosomal RNA (303 nucleotides) under uncultured soil bacterium. RNAcentral's name for it is "bacterial SSU rRNA". It matches the Rfam family "Bacterial small subunit ribosomal RNA", at positions 26 to 330 of the family's 1533-position model. The record is from RNAcentral.